GCGGAUUCACAGGGGAAAGAGUGUUUAUAAUUAUUCAGUGUUCGUUUUCGUGGAUUAUUUCUUUAUUUUAAUUUAAAAAUGAACGAUAAAAACAAGCAAACAAAUCGACAUCAAUUUUUGGCUCUCGUCGAGUUUAUGAAAAAAAAAUAAGGGCAUUGCAACGGGAGCACUCGUCGGUCCUGAAUAUCGGGCUAAAACAAAUGAACUGUGGGACAAUAUUUCAAAAGUUUUAAAUAGCCUAGGACCCCCUCGAAAAAAUGUUGAAAGCUGGAAGAAAGUAUGCAUACAUUUUGUUCUUUUAACCCUAUCAUGCUAUGA
Molecule: long non-coding RNA, 318 nt
Organism: Eupeodes corollae
Lineage: Eukaryota; Metazoa; Arthropoda; Insecta; Diptera; Syrphidae
Exons: 2
Source: RefSeq, a predicted model, not a curated record